GGAGUCUGGGCCGUGUCUCAGUCCCAAUGUGGCCGUUCACCCUCUCAGGCCGGCUAUGGAUCGUUGCUUUGGUGGGCCGUUACCCCGCCAACCGGCUAAUCCAACGCGGAGCCAUCCUGUACCACCGGAGUUUUUCACACUGUACCAUGCGGUACUGUGCGCUUAUGCGGUUUUAGCAAUCAUUUCUGAUUGUUAUCCCCCUGUACAGGGCAGGUUCUCCACGCGUUACUCACCCGUCCGCCACUAACUUCAAAUAUCCUUCAACCGAAGUCUCAUUCAAUAUGAAGUCCGUUCGACUUGCAUGUGUUAGGCACGCCGCCAGCGUUCAUC
Molecule: ribosomal RNA, 330 nt
Filed under: uncultured Clostridia bacterium
Lineage: Bacteria; Bacillati; Bacillota; Clostridia
Description: partial 16S ribosomal RNA
Source: RNAcentral